This 1346-nucleotide ribosomal RNA is filed under the name uncultured bacterium. RNAcentral's name for it is "partial 16S ribosomal RNA". It matches the Rfam family "Bacterial small subunit ribosomal RNA", at positions 28 to 1381 of the family's 1533-position model. The record is from RNAcentral.
GACGAACGCUGGCGGCGUGCUUAACACAUGCAAGUCGAACGGAAAGGCCCUGCUUUUGUGGGGUGCUCGAGUGGCGAACGGGUGAGUAACACGUGAGUAACCUGCCCUUGACUUUGGGAUAACUUCAGGAAACUGGGGCUAAUACCGGAUAGGAGCUCCUGCUGCAUGGUGGGGGUUGGAAAGUUUCGGCGGUUGGGGAUGGACUCGCGGCUUAUCAGCUUGUUGGUGGGGUAGUGGCUUACCAAGGCUUUGACGGGUAGCCGGCCUGAGAGGGUGACCGGCCACAUUGGGACUGAGAUACGGCCCAGACUCCUACGGGAGGCAGCAGUGGGGAAUAUUGCACAAUGGGCGGAAGCCUGAUGCAGCAACGCCGCGUGCGGGAUGACGGCCUUCGGGUUGUAAACCGCUUUCGCCUGUGACGAAUCGUGAGUGACGGUAAUGGGUAAAGAAGCACCGGCUAACUACGUGCCAGCAGCCGCGGUGAUACGUAGGGUGCGAGCGUUGUCCGGAUUUAUUGGGCGUAAAGGGCUCGUAGGUGGUUGAUCGCGUCGGAAGUGUAAUCUUGGGGCUUAACCCUGAGCGUGCUUUCGAUACGGGUUGACUUGAGGAAGGUAGGGGAGAAUGGAAUUCCUGGUGGAGCGGUGGAAUGCGCAGAUAUCAGGAGGAACACCAGUGGCGAAGGCGGUUCUCUGGGCCUUUCCUGACGCUGAGGAGCGAAAGCGUGGGGAGCGAACAGGCUUAGAUACCCUGGUAGUCCACGCUGUAAACGGUGGGUACUAGGUGUGGGGUCCAUUCCACGGGUUCCGUGCCGUAGCUAACGCUUUAAGUACCCCGCCUGGGGAGUACGGCCGCAAGGCUAAAACUCAAAGGAAUUGACGGGGCCCCGCACAAGCGGCGGAGCAUGCGGAUUAAUUCGAUGCAACGCGUAGAACCUUACCUGGGUUUGACAUGGAUCGGGAGUGCUCAGAGAUGGGUGUGCCUCUUUUGGGGUCGGUUCACAGGUGGUGCAUGGCUGUCGUCAGCUCGUGUCGUGAGAUGUUGGGUUAAGUCCCGCAACGAGCGCAACCCUUGUUCACUGUUGCCAGCACGUUAUGGUGGGGACUCAGUGGAGACCGCCGGGGUCAACUCGGAGGAAGGUGGGGAUGACGUCAAGUCAUCAUGCCCCUUAUGUCCAGGGCUUCACGCAUGCUACAAUGGCUGGUACAGAGAGUGGCGAGCCUGUGAGGGUGAGCGAAUCUCGGAAAGCCGGUCUCAGUUCGGAUUGGGGUCUGCAACUCGACCUCAUGAAGUCGGAGUCGCUAGUAAUCGCAGAUCAGCAACGCUGCGGUGAAUACGUUCCCGGGGCU